RNAcentral lists this ribosomal RNA (502 nucleotides) under uncultured Glomeromycotina. RNAcentral's name for it is "partial small subunit ribosomal RNA". It matches the Rfam family "Eukaryotic small subunit ribosomal RNA", at positions 591 to 1092 of the family's 1831-position model. Lineage: Eukaryota; Fungi; Glomeromycota. The record is from RNAcentral.
CCAAUAGCGUAUAUUAAAGUUGUUGCAGUUAAAAAGCUCGUAGUUGAAUUUCGGGGUUUAUCAGUUGGUCGGGCUUAAUUGUCCGUACUGACUUGAUGGAUUCCUACCUUCUGAAUAACCAACAUGCUAUUAAGUUAGUGCGUUGGGGAAGCAGAUCUAUUACCUUGAAAAAAUUAGAGUGCUUAAAGCAGGCUAGUGCUUGAAUAGAUUAGCAUGGAAUAAUAAAAUAGGACGGCAUGGUUCUAUUUUGUUGGUUUCUAGGAUCACCGUAAUGCUUAAUAGGGAUAGUUGGGGGCAUUAGUAUUCAAUUGUCAGAGGUGAAAUUCUUGGAUUUAUCGAAGACUAACUUCUGCGAAAGCAGUUGCCAAGGAUGUUUUCAUUAAUCAAGAACGAAAGUUAGGGGAUCGAAGACGAUCAGAUACCGUCGUAGUCUUAACCAUAAACUAUGCCGACUAGGAAUCGGACGAUGUUAAUUUUUUAAUGACUCGUUCGGCACCUUACG